GCGGUAUUAGUGUCAACGGAUUAGCACAAUAGCCUUCCAAGCUGAAAGUACGGGUUCAAAUCCUGUAUACCGCACCA
This 77-nucleotide transfer RNA is filed under the name Dyadobacter sp. CY327. Its description in RNAcentral is "tRNA-Gly". It matches the Rfam family "tRNA". From Rfam's summary of the family: Transfer RNA (tRNA) molecules are approximately 80 nucleotides in length. Their secondary structure includes four short double-helical elements and three loops (D, anti-codon, and T loops). Lineage: Bacteria; Pseudomonadati; Bacteroidota; Cytophagia; Cytophagales; Spirosomataceae. The record is from RNAcentral.